GCCGGGAUAGCUCAGUUGGUAGAGCAGGGGACUGAAAAUCCUCGUGUCACCAGUUCAAU
RNAcentral lists this transfer RNA (59 nucleotides) under Frullania dilatata. RNAcentral describes it as "partial tRNA-Phe". It matches the Rfam family "tRNA", at positions 1 to 57 of the family's 71-position model. From Rfam's summary of the family: Transfer RNA (tRNA) molecules are approximately 80 nucleotides in length. Their secondary structure includes four short double-helical elements and three loops (D, anti-codon, and T loops). The record is from RNAcentral. Lineage: Eukaryota; Viridiplantae; Streptophyta; Jungermanniopsida; Porellales; Frullaniaceae. RNAcentral also lists the same sequence under 1 other name.